AUGUCUGAUAAUGGAACUCCUUUUAAAAACAAACAAGUCGAGAGAUUAUGCUCAAAAUUUAAGAUAGACCAUCAUUAUUCCACGACAUAUAAUCCAGCUGCCAAUGGACAAGCAGAAGCUUUCAACAAAACUCUUUGCAAGUUACUAAAGAAAGUUGUACCAAAAAACAAGCGUGACUGGCAUGAAAAGCUUCUCGAAGCCUUGUGGGCUUAUAGAACCACAACACGAAUGCCGACAGGAAUGACACCUUAUUCCUUAGUAUUCGGGGGAGAAGCCGUUCUACCUUUGGAGGUACAGAUCACGUCAAUGAGAGUCGCUACACAUGAAAAUUUGUCGGAAGAAAAAUCAGUACAAUUACGUCUCGACGAAUUAGAAAGACUAGAAGGUAGACGACUUCAAGCUUUGCAAAAUCUUGAGGCAUACCAAGCUAGGAUGUCUCGAGCAUUCGACAAACGAGUCAAAACAAGGUCGUUCAAACAAGGAGAUCUAGUACUUGUGGUCAUCCGUCCUAUGAAUAUCACGCGACGGAUGAAAGGAAAAUUUGAACCAAAAUGGGAAGGUCCCUUCGUCAUAAAAGAGGUUUAUUCUAGCAGCGCAUAUAGAAUCAUAUCACCAGAUGGGGAAUACUCGCCGGCACCGGUAAAUGGGAAAUUCCUUAAGCGUUACUAUGCAUAA
Molecule: ribosomal RNA, 675 nt
Filed under: Triticum aestivum (bread wheat)
Lineage: Eukaryota; Viridiplantae; Streptophyta; Magnoliopsida; Poales; Poaceae
Description: partial small subunit ribosomal RNA
Source: RNAcentral